This is a non-coding RNA of Mycena maculata, 94 nucleotides long. The record is from the annotation of a GenBank genome assembly. NCBI's taxonomy places the organism in Eukaryota, Fungi, Basidiomycota, Agaricomycetes, Agaricales, Mycenaceae.
GCCCUCGUAGAUCAGCGGCAGAUCUCCUUCAUGAAAUAGAAAUCUGUGCUCCAACCUUAUGAAGGCGACGUGGGUUCGACUCCCACCGAGGGUA